This 70-nucleotide non-coding RNA is filed under the name Peptoclostridium acidaminophilum. RNAcentral's name for it is "Eubacterium acidaminophilum Glycine sequence". It matches the Rfam family "Glycine riboswitch aptamer". Rfam says of the family: This family represents the bacterial glycine riboswitch. Glycine riboswitches usually consist of two metabolite-binding aptamers domains with similar structures in tandem. The record is from Rfam by way of RNAcentral. Lineage: Bacteria; Bacillati; Bacillota; Clostridia; Peptostreptococcales; Peptoclostridiaceae.
AUGAAGGUGGCAGGAGAGACCCAUGAGGGGCGCCGAAGAAGUAAAGCUUUCAGGCUUAGGACUGUCAUCA